This 563-nucleotide ribosomal RNA is filed under the name uncultured fungus. RNAcentral describes it as "eukaryotic LSU rRNA". The stretch from base 206 to 359 matches the Rfam family "5.8S ribosomal RNA". The record is from RNAcentral. Lineage: Eukaryota; Fungi.
CGUACAGGUCUCCGUAGGUGAACCUGCGGAGGGAUCAUUACACAAAUAUGAAGGCGGGCAGGAACCUCUCGGGGUUACAGCCUUGCUGAAUUAUUCACCCUUGUCUUUUGCGUACUUCUUGUUUCCUUGGUGGGUUCGCCCACCACUAGGACAAACAUAAACCUUUUGUAAUUGCAAUCAGCGUCAGUAACAAAUUAAUAAUUACAACUUUCAACAACGGAUCUCUUGGUUCUGGCAUCGAUGAAGAACGCAGCGAAAUGCGAUAAGUAGUGUGAAUUGCAGAAUUCAGUGAAUCAUCGAAUCUUUGAACGCACAUUGCGCCCUUUGGUAUUCCAAAGGGCAUGCCUGUUCGAGCGUCAUUUGUACCCUCAAGCUUUGCUUGGUGUUGGGCGUCUUGUCUCUAGCUUUGCUGGAGACUCGCCUUAAAGUAAUUGGCAGCCGGCCUACUGGUUUCGGAGCGCAGCACAAGUCGCACUCUCUAUCAGCAAAGGUCUAGCAUCCAUUAAGCCUUUUUUUCAACUUUUGACCUCGGAUCAGGUAGGGAUACCCGCUGAACUUAAGCA